GUGGGGAAUCUUCCGCAAUGGACGAAAGUCUGACGGAGCAACGCCGCGUGAGUGAUGAAGGUCUUCGGAUUGUAAAGCUCUGUUAAUCGGGACGAAAGAGCCUAGUGUGAAUAAUGCUAGGAAGUGACGGUACCGGAAUAGAAAGCCACGGCUAACUACGUGCCAGCAGCCGCGGUAAUACGUAGGUGGCAAGCGUUGUCCGGAAUUAUUGGGCGUAAAGCGCGCGCAGGCGGAUCUGCCAGUCUGUCUUAAAAGUUCGGGGCUUAACCCCGUGAUUGGAUGGAAACUACAGAUCUAGAGUAUCGGAGAGGAAAGUGGAAUUCCUAGUGUAGCGGUGAAAUGCGUAGAUAUUAGGAAGAACACCAGUGGCGAAGGCGACUUUCUGGACGAAAACUGACGCUGAGGCGCGAAAGCCAGGGGAGCGAACGGGAUUAGAAACCCCGGUAGUCC
This 450-nucleotide ribosomal RNA is filed under the name uncultured bacterium. RNAcentral's name for it is "partial 16S ribosomal RNA". It matches the Rfam family "Bacterial small subunit ribosomal RNA", at positions 354 to 796 of the family's 1533-position model. The record is from RNAcentral.